AGAGUUUGAUCCUGGCUCAGAUUGAACGCUGGCGGCAUGCCUUACACAUGCAAGUCGAACGGUAACGCGGGGCAACCUGGCGACGAGUGGCGAACGGGUGAGUAAUAUAUCGGAACGUGCCCAGNUAGUGGGGGAUAGCCCGGCGAAAGCCGGAUUAAUACCGCAUACGACCUACGGGUGAAAGCGGGGGAUCGCAAGACCUCGCGCUAUUGGAGCGGCCGAUAUCAGAUUAGGUAGUUGGUGGGGUAAAAGCCUACCAAGCCGACGAUCUGUAGCUGGUCUGAGAGGACGACCAGCCACACUGGGACUGAGACACGGCCCAGACUCCUACGGGAGGCAGCAGUGGGGAAUUUUGGACAAUGGGCGCAAGCCUGAUCCAGCCAUGCCGCGUGCGGGAAGAAGGCCUUCGGGUUGUAAACCGCUUUUGUCAGGGNAAGAAACGCUCUGGGCUAAUACCCCGGGGUAAUGACGGUACCUGAAGAAUAAGCACCGGCUAACUACGUGCCAGCAGCCGCGGUAAUACGUAGGGUGCAAGCGUUAAUCGGAAUUACUGGGCGUAAAGCGUGCGCAGGCGGUUAUGCAAGACAGAUGUGAAAUCCCCGGGCUUAACCUGGGAACUGCAUUUGUGACUGCAUAGCUAGAGUACGGUAGAGGGGGAUGGAAUUCCGCGUGUAGCAGUG
This 680-nucleotide ribosomal RNA is filed under the name uncultured bacterium. RNAcentral describes it as "bacterial SSU rRNA". It matches the Rfam family "Bacterial small subunit ribosomal RNA", at positions 8 to 683 of the family's 1533-position model. The record is from RNAcentral.